Molecule: ribosomal RNA, 253 nt
Filed under: uncultured bacterium
Lineage: Bacteria
Description: partial 16S ribosomal RNA
Rfam family: Bacterial small subunit ribosomal RNA
Source: RNAcentral
UACGUAGGGUGCAAGCGUUAAUCGGAAUUACUGGGCGUAAAGCGUGCGCAGGCGGUUAUAUAAGACAGAUGUGAAAUCCCCGGGCUCAACCUGGGAACUGUAUUUGUGACUGCAAGGCUAGAGUACGGCAGAGGGGGAUGGAAUUCCGCGUGUAGCAGUGAAAUGCGUAGAUAUGCGGAGGAACACCAAUGGCGAAGGCAAUCCCCUGGGCCUGUACUGACGCUCAUGCACGAAAGCGUGGGGAGCAAACAGG